This is a long non-coding RNA of Acanthochromis polyacanthus (spiny chromis), 287 nucleotides long. RefSeq lists it as uncharacterized. The transcript has 2 exons. NCBI's taxonomy places the organism in Eukaryota, Metazoa, Chordata, Actinopteri, Pomacentridae. The record is from RefSeq and is a predicted model, not a curated record.
UCACCGAUGCUGUCGGUUCCCACCUCCUCGUAGUCCUUCUCCAGGGCGGCCAUGUCCUCCCUGGCCUCUGAGAACUCUCCCUCCUCCAUCCCCUCUCCAACGUACCAGUGGACGAAGGCCCUCUUGGCGUACAUCAGGUCGAACUUGUGGUCCAGUCGGGCCCAGGCCUCGGCGAUGGCGGUGGUGUUGCUCAGCAUGCACACGGCCCUCUGGACCUUGGCCAGGUCUCCUCCAGGAACCACAGUGGGAGGCUGGUAGUUGAUGCCCACUUUGAAGCCAGUUGGACA